Molecule: ribosomal RNA, 403 nt
Filed under: Arachnocampa tasmaniensis
Lineage: Eukaryota; Metazoa; Arthropoda; Insecta; Diptera; Keroplatidae
Description: partial 16S large subunit ribosomal RNA
Source: RNAcentral
ACUUAAAUUUUAAGCUUCUACACCUAAAAAUAAUUUUAAUCCAACAUCGAGGUCGCAAUCUUUUUUAUUAAUAUGAACUUUAAAAAAAAAUUACGCUGUUAUCCCUAAGGUAAUUUAAUCUUUUAAUCAAUAAAAAUGGAUCAAUUAAUCAUAUAUAAAUGGUUAAAAAUAAUAAAAGAUCAUUAAAUUUUACUGUCACCCCAACAAAAUAUUAAAAUUAAUAAAAAAUUAAAUUAAUUAUAUAAAUAAUAUUAACUUUAAUAUUAAACUCUAUAGGGUCUUCUCGUCUUUUAAUUUUAUUUAAGCCUUUUAACUUAAAAGUUAAAUUAUAUUUAAUUUUUUAUGACACAGCUAAUAUUUCGUUCAACCAUUCAUACAAGUUUUCAAUUAAAAAACUAAUGAU